RNAcentral lists this ribosomal RNA (703 nucleotides) under Salmonella enterica. RNAcentral's name for it is "bacterial SSU rRNA". It matches the Rfam family "Bacterial small subunit ribosomal RNA", at positions 41 to 733 of the family's 1533-position model. Lineage: Bacteria; Pseudomonadati; Pseudomonadota; Gammaproteobacteria; Enterobacterales; Enterobacteriaceae. The record is from RNAcentral.
GGCAGGCCUAACACAUGCAAGUCGAACGGUAACAGGAAGCAGCUUGCUGCUUUGCUGACGAGUGGCGGACGGGUGAGUAAUGUCUGGGAAACUGCCUGAUGGAGGGGGAUAACUACUGGAAACGGUGGCUAAUACCGCAUAACGUCGCAAGACCAAAGAGGGGGACCUUCGGGCCUCUUGCCAUCAGAUGUGCCCAGAUGGGAUUAGCUUGUUGGUGAGGUAACGGCUCACCAAGGCGACGAUCCCUAGCUGGUCUGAGAGGAUGACCAGCCACACUGGAACUGAGACACGGUCCAGACUCCUACGGGAGGCAGCAGUGGGGAAUAUUGCACAAUGGGCGCAAGCCUGAUGCAGCCAUGCCGCGUGUAUGAAGAAGGCCUUCGGGUUGUAAAGUACUUUCAGCGGGGAGGAAGGUGUUGUGGUUAAUAACCGCAGCAAUUGACGUUACCCGCAGAAGAAGCACCGGCUAACUCCGUGCCAGCAGCCGCGGUAAUACGGAGGGUGCAAGCGUUAAUCGGAAUUACUGGGCGUAAAGCGCACGCAGGCGGUCUGUCAAGUCGGAUGUGAAAUCCCCGGGCUCAACCUGGGAACUGCAUUCGAAACUGGCAGGCUUGAGUCUUGUAGAGGGGGGUAGAAUUCCAGGUGUAGCGGUGAAAUGCGUAGAGAUCUGGAGGAAUACCGGUGGCGAAGGCGGCCCCCUGGA